RNAcentral lists this signal recognition particle RNA (264 nucleotides) under Macaca fascicularis (crab-eating macaque). RNAcentral describes it as "Metazoan signal recognition particle RNA (ENSMFAG00000051844.1)". It matches the Rfam family "Metazoan signal recognition particle RNA". From Rfam's summary of the family: The signal recognition particle (SRP) is a universally conserved ribonucleoprotein. It is involved in the co-translational targeting of proteins to membranes. The record is from Rfam by way of RNAcentral. Lineage: Eukaryota; Metazoa; Chordata; Mammalia; Primates; Cercopithecidae.
GCCAGGCAUGGUGGCGGGUGCCUGUAGUCCCAGCUACUCGGGAGGCUGAGACAGGAGAAUGGCUUGAACCUGGGAGGCAGAGGUUGCAGUGAGCUGAGAUCACGCCACUGCACUCCAGCCUGGGUGACAGAGUAAGACUCCAUCUCAAAAAAAUUUAAAAAAUGAAGUGAAGUCUCGCUCUGUCACCCAGGCUAGAGUGCAGUGGUGUGAUAUCAGCUCACUGCAACCUCCACCUCCCAGGUUCAAGCCAUUCCACUGCCUCAG